Long non-coding RNA from Trematomus bernacchii (emerald rockcod), 355 nucleotides. RefSeq lists it as uncharacterized. Lineage: Eukaryota; Metazoa; Chordata; Actinopteri; Perciformes; Nototheniidae. The transcript is spliced from 3 exons. The record is from RefSeq and is a predicted model, not a curated record.
GACAGUGGCGUCAGAGUCUAACUCCCGCCUGCUACAUCCUGAUCCAAAUAAGGGCAAAGAGGCGGAGCCGUGGCGGAGACGAGGCGGGACAGGGCGGGACCUUCUGCCAACGGCCGUGAAGUUCCAGACCUAGCUCAGGCUAAGAAGCUAAGCUAACAUGCUCACAGUAUUAAGCUAACAACCCAGCUUCCGGUCACUGCUCCUCGUUCCCGGCGUUCUGAAGCAUUAAGAAAAAAAGAUGGCAACCUCCUCCACAACCUUGACUGUAUGGAUAAUCGGAGACAGCUAUGUCCGGCGUGGAGCCCAGAGAGCUACAGAGACCAUCGGCAGCAACCUUGGCCUCGACCUUCGCGCC